RNAcentral lists this long non-coding RNA (669 nucleotides) under Rhinopithecus bieti (black snub-nosed monkey). RNAcentral describes it as "lncRNA (ENSRBIG00000045618.1)". Lineage: Eukaryota; Metazoa; Chordata; Mammalia; Primates; Cercopithecidae. The record is from RNAcentral.
GCAUCGGCCGUAUCCCCACCCACUUGUUUUGGUCCAAGGGCAGAAAUGAACAUCCUGGAAACCAAUCAGUACUUGCGCUCUGAACUGGAAAAGUGCAAACAGAACUUCCGAGACCUCACAGAGAAAUUCCUGACAUCCAAAGCAACUGCCUACUCCCUGGCCAAUCACCUGCAGAAAUACAAUACAUGAUCCCUUAAUUCAGGCUCAGGCUGAAGAACUGACCCACUUACUACAGAAGAUACAGGAAGGAAGAGGUGUCUACUAGCUUUUCACCCAGCAUGUGAAGAACACAGUCAAGUCUUUUGAGGGCCUUCUCAGGAACACUGGCAUUGCCUGCUACCAGAGACAGAGAUUCUGUGAGCAAAUGGUACAAGGAAUCCAGCUGACAGAGGUUCUUGUCAGAAAACUUGCCACAGAAGAUGAGAUCCAGAGCCAGUGGCAGCACCUGAAGGAAACCCUUUUCAUCAACAACUGCCUGCCAGGAAUGCUGGAAUGUCAUCUCAGCAGCUUUGACGAACAAAAUGGUAGGAGAAGCCCAAGUUGGUCUGCUUCUGGCAAUAUGUAUUUUUCUAAAGGCAUGUCACUGGUGCAGAGUUUUAUAGAUUUCAAGCACUUUGACAUACUUUACUUCACUUAUUCAUUACAAAGGUCCCAGCUAGAGAGGUAGGG